CGAACCUGGUUGAUCCUGCCAGUAGUCAUAUGCUUGUCUCAAAGAUUAAGCCAUGCAUGUCUAAGUAUAAACAUCUUUAUACAGUGAAACUGCGUACAGCUCAUUAUAUCAGUUAUGAUUUAUUUGAUGGUACCUUACUACAUGGAUACCCGUAGUAAUUCUAGAGCUAAUACAUGCGUACAAUCCCGACUACU
Molecule: ribosomal RNA, 194 nt
Filed under: uncultured eukaryote
Lineage: Eukaryota
Description: partial 18S ribosomal RNA
Rfam family: Eukaryotic small subunit ribosomal RNA
Source: RNAcentral